GUGAAAAUCCCUCAGCUGUUUCCAAACAAUGCAGUGACGGCUGGCCACCUGAUCACGUGACCUUCGCGUUCCAUUCUUUCUACGGAAGCCUGUAGGAGCCGGAUUGGCCCUGCAGACAAAGGACCGCAAACCGUUCUGUCUUGUCUUGAAAUGUAACUAAUUUAUAAACGUGUGCUUCGCCUGCGCAUGUCCACAAAAUAAGGAAAAUGAUUGAUGGUGGCCGCUGGGAGCAGGAUUGCCUGGAAGACAGCAUCCAGUCGGACGGAUCGACGCCUGGAGACAAAACCUCUGGAAGACGGAAUAAGUCCUCCAACAUCUUCUUCAUGGAGACCGGUCCUGGAAAUCACGUCCCUCAGGCCGGCUGCAUGAUCCUGGAGCCCACCAUCAUUGCAGAUGUAAAACAGAUACCGGUGUUUAAAGAAGAAGCCCCAGAAGAUGAAAAAGCUAAUGCAGACCUGUGUGACCUUAAGCUCUACCACAUAAAGGAGGAAGAGGAGAGAGUCUGUAUCAGUCUGGGGGUAGAGCUGAGAAAUGUAAAGGAGGAGAGAGAAAGUGCCAUAAAAAGUGAUGAUGAACAGUCCCCUCUGUUCUCACAGCUUCAUCAAGACCAAAUUAAAGACAGAGAACCUCCAGAAGAAAACGAUGGACGAGAAUCCAUCAAGACAGAAGAUUAUGGAGAUGAUUCCAACUUCUUAGCGUCUGAAGACAUCAAGAAGGAUGAAGAGGAUGAUGAUGCAAAGCAUCCCGUCUCUGAGAUGAAACACUUGGACUAUGGACUGAAAACUGAGGAUAUGGAUAAUAACUGGAAGGAAAGCAGAACCUCUGAGUCAGAUGGAAACCAAGCAAACAAACCAGAUUCAGAAGUAGAGUCUCCAUGCUCGUUGGAUAUAAAGAAAUGUGCUACAGAGCACAAAAAUGUUGACUCACGAAGGAAGGUCCCAACUGGAGAGAAGUUUAACUGUGAAGACUGUGGAAAAACAUUUAUUAGAAAACAGAAUUUAAGCAGGCACAUGAGAAGCCACACAGGCCAGAAACCUUUCUGUUGUGAUCUCUGUGGACACAGAUUUAGCGAAAAAUCAUAUUUAACCGCACACAUGAGAAUCCACACAGGUCAGAAACCUUUCUGUUGUGAUAUCUGUGGACACAGAUUUAACCAAAGAGCACAUUUAAUUAUGCACAUGAGAAUCCACACAGGACAUAAACCUUUCUGUUGUGAUAUCUGUGGACAUAGAUUUAGCCAAAAAGCAAAUUUAAUUAUGCACAUGAGAAUCCACACGGGAGAGAAACCUUUCUGUUGUGAUAUCUGUGGACAUAGAUUUAGCCAAAAAUCAUAUUUAACCAGACACUUGAUAAUCCACACAGGACAGAAACCUUUUUGUUGUGAUAUUUGUGGACAUAGAUUUACCAAAAAAGCACAAUUAAUCUCACACAUGGAGAUCCACACACGACAGAAGCCUUUCUGUUGUGAUGUAUGUGGACACAGAUUUAGCUAUAAAUCGUACUUAAAGACACACAUGAGAAUCCAUACAGGACAAAAACCGUUCUGUUGUGAUAUUUGUGGACACAGAUUCUUCCAAAAAGCCAAUUUAAACAGACACACGGUGAUCCACACGGGACAGAAACCUUUCUGUUGUGACCUCUGUGGACAUAGAUUUUUCCAUAAAUCACAGUUAAACACACACAUGAGAAUCCACACAGGACAGAAACCGUUCUGUUGUAAUAUCUGUGGACAUAGAUGUAACCGAAAAACACUUUUAAACAGACACAUGAAAAUCCACACAGGAGAGAAACCUUUCUGUUGUGAGAUCUGUGAGCACAGAUGUAGCCGAAAAUCGCAUUUAGUCAUUCAUAUGAGAAUCCACACAGGAGAGAAACCAUUCUGUUGUGAGAUCUGUGGAUACAAAUUUAGACAUAAAUCAACUUUAAGCACACACAUGAUAAUCCACACAGGAGAGAAAAUAUCUCUAUUAUGACGACUCAAACUGCACAGCUGCUGUUGGCUGUGAAAUAUUUAUGCGUCGUCAUUCAAGGCUACAUCAUUCACUUUCUUUUGAAGAUUCUAUUUAUUGAACAUUUUCAAAGUUAUAACAGUCCUGUACAGUGCACAUGCAACUUAUUUAAGACAUGUAGUAAAUCCUGAGUGCAUCCACAGCGAUGUCCUUAUAAGUAUGUCGUUUCAGACGGUGGUCCUGCGAGUUCUCAGGAACUCCCAACACCCCACCAAGUUUUACUGUAAAAAUGGUUUCCUGAUAUUAAAUCUUAGACUUUCCUGAGAAAUAUAGUGUGAUAUCUAGGAUUUCCACAAAUGUAUUGGGCAAUUUAGAGAGACUCCAGUUGUGUCUUUACUAUACAUGUACACAAAUAUAGAGACAUGUUGUUAGAUAUUACACUAAAUUUAUCUGAAUCCAAAUACUUAUGGAUAAUUUUGAAAGUAAAAGUAAAAUUUGCUCCCAUAUUUCUGUGUUUAUUGAUAUCUUUAGCUGAAUCUCCCAUCAUUUUAUUAGAAUUGGUGGUUUGUAUUCAUCUGUUGUAGCUUGGAGAAAAAAAGGAAAGGAUAGAAAGUGAACUUGUUUGAGACUGUCUAGAAGAGUUUUUUCUUAUCAGUUCAAUCCAUAAAUCACAGUUAAAUCCAGAAACGUGUGUUUCUGGAAUUCCUCUCAAUUUCACCUGGGAUAUAGAGAGGAAUCGUUGUAGUAUGUAAAUAGUGACUGAUCUAAAAGUAUUUAUGACAUUCCUUCAUUUGUAGUUUGUGUGGUCUGUAGGGACUAGCAUGUUUUGAAUUUUUCUCUGUCCCACUUGUGCAUUAAUCAGGUAAAUUGAUAAGAAAAUGCAGUUUGGGAAGGUUGCGUCAGUCUCCAACCAUGGUGCUUUGGGUUCAGCAGUUUCCAAAAUAAAUUAAGUCUGGAUUGUAUUGAGAUUUCAUCUAUUGUUCAGAUUGAGCAGUUCUGGGUGCAUUCCCACCAGCCCUGCUUAGUCUGCUAUAAUCAAACUGUAGUUUAUUUGUCUAUCAGGUCCAGUUUGUUUGGGGUGGUGUGGAUGUGUAACUGAGAAAGCUCUAAACCUUAACCCUAAAAACCUGUCUUGGUUUGGCUCAAGUCGAGUCUGGCGCAGUUUGAACGCUUAUGUGGAUGAAAAGGAGAAGAGUAUUCUGGGUAAAUGGAGCAAAAAUAAGUCUAGUACUACAGGGAGAAAUGGUUUGUGGUCUUUAGCCAGAGACAAAAAAAAAUUCUACAACCACUAAAAUCAAACAGUCUUUCUUCUUUGUUUACAUUUUGUGAAGAAGGAAGUUGUGCUGAUCUUCUUCCGAGGUUUUCCUCAGGAGAAGACCAGCUGUCGUUGUUGGCGCUGCUCCCAAACCGACAAGGGGGAAACAGGUUUCUCAAAAGGUUUGGAUCGUUUGACACACUGUGAAAGCGAACAGAAUCAGGUGAAAAUGUAACAAAUAUUGUUUGGUCUCCAGUCGAACCGGUUUAUCAAGUGUAAAAACACCCAAAGUUCAUGUGUGUCUACACAAGGCGGAUUGUUUCUGUGAUGCCACCAGAUGUCGACGCUACCAUUACCAUCAAAACCAUCCAGUUUGUGGAGCCACUGGUUUCAAGGUGGCAUCAACAAGCAGCUUCCCACUGUGGCUGCUGGUGGGAACAUGGCCAAGAUCCAGAGGGAUGUGUGAAGGCUGUUGCAAAGGCCAAUGAACCAAGGAAGGGUUCCUUGGUUCAUUGGAGUGAUGCAUGGAGGACGGAGAGUUCUCCGAGGCCAGGACGGACAUGGCUGCCCUGAAGAAGGAUUAUGAGGAGGUUGGAAUUGGUUUCAUUGAGGAGGAGGAAGAAGGAGCAGAAUAUUAAAAUGACCUCAAAGUUACCUGAAGAAAGUUCUGUGUAAAGUUAUAACACAGAAGUUUCUUAACAUGGCGUUUCAAUUUAGAGGAAUUUUUAAAUGUUUGCAUCACAACCAAAUUUUGGAUGAAUGUUUAUGGUUUGAAAAUAAUUAUUUAUGUUUGAACUUUACAUUCCAUUGUGUGGUAAGAAAACUAUUUUGUCUUUGGUUAUCCAAUACAUGUCUGUGAAUCUAUAGAAAAUUACUUAAAAUCUGUUCAGCUAUGAUGUGAAUACUCUAUUCCUGUUUGUGUGAUUACAUUGACUCUGGAAAAAAUUGAAAAUGUGAUCUUGUGCCCGUUAACAGGCGUCUGUAAUGUUCUGCAGUGCUUAUGUGUUGAUUAGAGUUGAGUCUAAAUCCUGUGGAUCCAGGAGGCCUGAGGGCUGCAGGCUGUUCUGCUUUACUUGGAUGAGAUGUUGGAGGUCUUUGCUUUCUUGAUGAGAACUGGGUCGAGCCUUUAGA
RNA transcript from Poeciliopsis prolifica (blackstripe livebearer), 4335 nucleotides. It is a transcript of the gene named androgen-dependent TFPI-regulating protein, with no coding region annotated. Lineage: Eukaryota; Metazoa; Chordata; Actinopteri; Cyprinodontiformes; Poeciliidae. The record is from RefSeq and is a predicted model, not a curated record. The transcript is spliced from 4 exons.